CUGGGACUCACCCAGCAUCUCUCCCUUCCCAGGUCUCACCACUUCUCCCGGCCUCCUCAUCCCCAGGUGAUGCCUAAAGCUCACGUCACCCUCAGGUCGAGAAGUGACACUGAAAUGAAAACUCCUGUCCACCGCAGACCUUCUUCCUCUGUUGUCCUCAGAAGGUUCUCUCUGGUCUCCCCCAUCAGACUGGCCAUGGCCUGAGGAGGCGAGGAUGGAAGAGGUGCACACAGCCCCGUCUCUCUCUGCUCUGUGAGGACUCACUGUCCCCAGGGCUCAAAGUCAGGUGCACCUGCGCCCCCUGGGCUCGCCCUGCCUUGAGGGCCCCCUCUAGGGCUGGGAGUCCCUGAUGUGGGCCCCUUUUUUCCGCCCAGCUGUGAACCAGCCCCAGAGUGCAAUCCUAAUAUGCCCAGGCCACCUGCCGUCCACCCGAGAUGCCACGCAGGUGAGUAGCCUGGAACACAAAGGCCAAAUGAGGGAAACUGAGUCACAUCUGCUUCUCCCAGACUGGGCUGGGGACCAGGGAUGGGGUUCGUGGCACAGCCAACGUGGACCGGGCUGUGCGUCUCCUCUUUUCCUGCCUGUCUCCCUGCCCUUCCCACCCCAUGGAGCCCAGCCUGUGGCUGGCCUGUUAUGCAAUCAGUGGCCCCCAACUGGUGCUGGGCCCUCUUGGGUCAGCACUGCAGGCUCUGGAGCUAAACCCUGGCCCCUGGGUUGGGGGCAGGGGAGAGGGGGGUGCAGGCCACAGGACAGGGUCUGUCUCAUCCGUGCAGUGGCACAGGUAUGGAUUCUGGCUCUGAAGCUGAGUAACGGUGGUCUGCCUGCUGCUCAGAUCCCCCAAGGGGCGGCUGGUGCCUUUACCCCACAUUGUAGUGAGGAGAUCAGGCCUGUGAGGGCAUAAGAUGUACCCAGGGAAGCACAGCGAGGGGGUUUCCCGGGCAUCUCCACCUACUAGGCUGUCCCGCCCCUGCCGCCCUCAGCCUGCUAGGGCCUGUGGUCGGAGCUGUGUAGUCCGUGUGGCCUAAGGGGGCUGAGUCUGUGAGCCCGGAGCACACGCUCAGGGUGCCCCGAGACGUUCAGGGGCAGCCCUGGGCUGGGAGCCUGGUCCUUGGCUGCCCCCGUCCCGAGCGAUGAGGCUCAUAAGGGCUGGUCACCCUGCAGGACAGCUGGGCAGGCCCUUGACAGCCAGCCAGAAUCUUUUUGCCUGGCUCACUCACCAUGGCUGGGGUGGGGGGUCAGAGGAAGACCCUCGGCCGCUCUCCCCUCAAGCCUUGCCCCAGAGGUUGGCUGACUCUCCCUGGCACAUCCUUGAGGGCACCCCCGUCCUGUCUACCAGUUAGAGAGUCCAGGGGGAGGCCACAGGACCCUGAGACCCUCUCGUGUAAGAUGUUGUUCUGGGCCCUCAAAGGGACGUGGGCCAGCCAGGUCCUGGGCAGCAGCCAGGCACUCUCGUCCCCACCCCUAGGGGCUGCAUCUCAGGCUUCCCCUCAGUGGACAGCGCUGGGCCUUGGCCCUGAGCCUCUUUCGUUGCUGGCUGAGGGUCCUGGGACUUAAGCCAUGACCUCCAGUGGGGAAAAAGGCAAUUGCCCUGCACAAGGUGCCAUCAGUACAGCCCCUGCACCCAGGGGCUGUUCGGGAAGCUGCAGCUGCCCCACUUCUUGGGACUGGGCAUGAGCUGCCCCCUCAACCUCGUAGCAGGGGCAAGGCCCAGCCUGGGAAGGCCCAAGAACAAGACCCCAGCCCAGCCUGGGGCCAGGGACCCAUCCAUCUGGGCCUCAGCAUCCACACUGCUAAAUGGGACUGGUCAUCCCAGCUUCCCCGGGCCUGUGAGGACCCAGUGGUACAGCCCAGCCUCGUGCCUGCCUGGAGAGGGCAGUGUGUUGGGAAGGGGCGUGGAGGGAGGUUUAGGGCACUGAAGAGACAGAGCUCUCCUGCCACUUCACCAAGCAAGAAGCAAAACGUUCUGAUCUCCUGAAGUCUUCGGUGUUCCCUCUGCUUCCAUCUGCUCACCUGCUAGGUAGGCGGCUGCUCCGGCGUUUCCUCUGUGCCCGGGCAGGUGGAGGCCGUGCUGGAGGCCGUGGCUGAUGUUUACGAGACUGACUGUGCCGUUGGGCACUGGUGCAGAGCCCUUGAAAGGCGUGGGCAGCCCCAGGGAGGGACACUGGGUCCUGUGUGUUUCCCUCGAGGGUCUGCAGUGCUGGUCCAGCCACCCUCCCCAGGUUGCCUUUUGGGAGGAAAGAAUAGCCUCCUCUGGCCUCCCCCAGAGUGGGGACAGCUCAGGGCACCCUGAGCGGCAGGACCAACCAGAGCCCGUGGGAGGCGGUCCCCGCCGGCCCAGUGGCCCCUCAGGUUGGCCCCAGGCCCAGCAGUCCCUGAGGCUCUCCUGGUGGACUGAGGGUGGGCUGCCAGGUGUACACUCCCUGCACCUGUUUAACACAUGCUGGCCCCCAACAAAUGACAGCCUCCCUCCCAGUGCCACCACGCAGAAGGCACUUGGGGACACGGCCACUGCUGCCCAGAGGGGGUGACCCAGCCACCGUCCAGUUUCCCCCAAGCCACACUGCCCUUCCCUCCCCUUCCCUCUCCGGCAGCUGGCGUCUCCUGUGGGGCUGGCUCCUCUCUGCCAUGGGCAUGCGGGCACUGGCCGAGAGGGUGGCUCGGGGUGCCCAGGCCCUCUGCUGACCCGCCAGCCAGAAUCCCAGUGGCCUUAGCAGCCAGCUGGCCCGGCUCCCAGCCCUGUGCCCUGCAGCCCCCCACCCCCGGAAGGAGGAAGCCAUGAAGUCCGUCUCGGCGCCCAGACUGACGGCCCUUUGGGGUGAGGUAGUAGGUUGUAUAGUUUGGGGCUCUGCCCUGCUAUGGGGUAACUAUACAAUCUACUGUCUUUCCUGAAGUGGCUGUAACACCGACGGUGGACGGCACAUAGGACCUGUUGGGGAGGCGCAGGGGGCAGAUUGGGGUGGGGAGCAGCCUCGGCAGCGUUGGGGGCGCUGGCUGCUAUGCUGAGCCAUGUGCUGUGUGACCUUGGGCAGCUCCCUUGACCUCUCUGGGCUCCAGUUCCCUCAUCUGUGAAAUGCGGGUGGGUGAGAAUUGAUGGAGAUAGCUGCGUGUCGUGUCCAGGGCAGGGAGGGCCUCAGACUUGGCCUGCCCUCUCCCCGCACUGCGCUGAGAGCCGGUGCACCCGCCGGGCGGUUUGUGCAGCCUGCCGCCUGCCCCACCCAUCCUGUGCAUCAGGCCCACGAGCCGGCCCGUCCGGACUCUCCUCCACCACAUUCCCAUGGCUAGCACUGGGCACCAGGACGAAGAGCCUUGGGCCCGAGGAGGAUGGGCCAGCUGAGAUGGCAGGGAGGCCCAUGGCUCCACCCGGCCUGCCCAGCCCAGGAGGGGGCGGGGGUGGCACGGUCCUCCAUGCCUGCCGUGCCUGAGCAGGGAGCGAGGAGCACUCCUGAGCACCUGCACCCCUCGAGGGCACACGCCUGCCCCACCUCCCAGCAACCACGGGUAGAGGGUGUGGGCUGCACUGUGUGGGAAACCGAGGCACCGCCCACUUGUCCCUCCUGCCCUGCACCUGCCCAGCCCUCCAGCUCGGCUCUGGUGGCCAAGGACCACCAGGCAGGAGCCAGGCUGGGCGUGGGGCAGUGGUGGGUGCGGACCCUCCCGCUCCUGGGGCGCCGGCGGGGUGAGGUAGUAGGUUGUGUGGUUUCAGGGCAGUGAUGUUGCCCCCUCAGAAGAUAACUAUACAACCUACUGCCUUCCCUGAGGGGCCCAGCGGCACGCCGGGAGGGCCGCCCCAUCGCCGCUCCUGCACGGGAGGCCGCCGCGGGCGAGCACACCUUGACUUCAAUAAAAGCUGCUCUGACGUGAA
Molecule: long non-coding RNA, 3862 nt
Organism: Manis pentadactyla (Chinese pangolin)
Lineage: Eukaryota; Metazoa; Chordata; Mammalia; Pholidota; Manidae
Exons: 2
Source: RefSeq, a predicted model, not a curated record